Non-coding RNA from Podarcis lilfordi (Lilford's wall lizard), 157 nucleotides. The record is from the annotation of a GenBank genome assembly. NCBI's taxonomy places the organism in Eukaryota, Metazoa, Chordata, Lepidosauria, Squamata, Lacertidae.
UAUGUAACCUGAAGCGUAUGUAACCCGAGGUACCACUGUGUGUGUGUGUGUGUGUGUAUAUAUGUGUGUGUGUGUGUGUGUGUGUGUGCGCGCACACACACACACACACACGUAUACAUAUACAGUGGUACCUUAGAUUACAUACGCUUCAGGUUAC